AAGUCGUAACAAGGUUUCCGUAGGUGAACCUGCGGAAGGAUCAUUAAAGAGUUAGGGUCUUCUAGGCCCGACCUCCCAACCCUGUGUUUAACAAACCUCUGUUGCUUCGGCGGGCCCGUCUCACGACCGUUGGGGGGACCUUCACCGGUUCUCUGGCCUGUGCCCGCCGGUGGCCCACCUAAACAAACUCUGAAUAAAUCAUGUCUAUAUGUCUGAGUACAAUUACAAAAUAAAAGCAAAACUUUCAACAACGGAUCUCUUGGUUCUG
This 268-nucleotide unclassified non-coding RNA is filed under the name Herpotrichiellaceae sp. RNAcentral describes it as "partial contains small subunit ribosomal RNA, internal transcribed spacer 1, and 5.8S ribosomal RNA". The stretch from base 1 to 46 matches the Rfam family "Eukaryotic small subunit ribosomal RNA", at positions 1786 to 1831 of the family's 1831-position model. The record is from RNAcentral. Lineage: Eukaryota; Fungi; Ascomycota; Eurotiomycetes; Chaetothyriales; Herpotrichiellaceae.